UUUUUGACUUGUAGAAAGACUCAAGUAUCUGAGCAAAGAGAAAUGCCUCUUUUAUGAAGUCCAACAAAUCUGAAAAGGCUACAUUACUCUAAUUGUGAAUGCAUUUAAACAAGUAUAACCGAAUGGUGAAAUUCAACUUAGAAAAAUUCUGACACCACAGGUACAAGUCUUGUUUCCCUUCUUCAAUUAAUUUAAAGAAUUACUUUGCAUCUUUACAUG
Molecule: unclassified non-coding RNA, 219 nt
Filed under: Hevea brasiliensis (rubber tree)
Lineage: Eukaryota; Viridiplantae; Streptophyta; Magnoliopsida; Malpighiales; Euphorbiaceae
Source: RNAcentral